CAAUAGCGUAUAUUAAAGUUGUUGCAGUUAAAAAGCUCGUAGUUGGAUUUCUGGUUUGAUGCGCUUGGCCCGCCAUGUCUACAUGUGUGAGUGCCGAUGCGCGUCUACCAUCCUUCUAGAGAACGUUUCUACCCUUCAUUGGGCCGGACUCGCAAUCUAGAUCUUUUACUUUGAAAAAUUAGAGUGUUCAAAGCAGGCUUGUGCUAUGAAUACAUUAGCAUGGAAUAAUAAUUUAGGACUUUAGCCCUAUUUUGUUGGUUUCUAGGACUGAAGUAAUGAUUGAUAGGGAUAGUUGGGGGUGCUAGUAUUCAGCGGCCAGAGGUGAAAUUCUUGGAUUCGCUGAAGACUAACUUAUGCGAAAGCAUUCACCAAGGAUGUCUUCUUUAAUCAAGAACGAAAGUUGGGGGAUCGAAGAUGAUCAGAUACCAU
Molecule: ribosomal RNA, 429 nt
Filed under: uncultured eukaryote
Lineage: Eukaryota
Description: SSU rRNA
Rfam family: Eukaryotic small subunit ribosomal RNA
Source: RNAcentral